This 241-nucleotide long non-coding RNA is filed under the name Elaeis guineensis (African oil palm). Its description in RNAcentral is "long non-coding RNA (EGUI_LNC036076)". Lineage: Eukaryota; Viridiplantae; Streptophyta; Magnoliopsida; Arecales; Arecaceae. The record is from RNAcentral.
CCUCUUCUUCUAUGUGGAUGUAAUCUAUUAGUGUUUGAAGGGAUGUCUCCUUUUAUUUGUAGUGCAUGAUUUUUUGAGAUUCUCUCCAUAAAGGUGGUAACUUAUCGAUGAUGCCAUAGACAAUGAUAUUAUCUCCAAUUUUGAUAUCCUCAGAUUGAAGAUCUCCAAUUAUCAUCACAAAGUCUUGAGCUUGGUCCAUUAUGGAUUUGGCGUCCACCAUUUGGAUUGCAAAAUAUUUCUU